GGGAGCCCCGAGGCGGCUCCGCAGGCCGAGCCCUUCCCUUCCCCUCGCACAAAAUUUCGUUUUAGGAACUGAUUGUCGAGAGGAGACUUCAAGCCUCGGAAAUCAGGAAAUGACAACACGCCCAGGGAGGUUGUUUUGCUGGCUACAAGGAGAAAGAAGUAAAAAAAUACCACUCGGGUCUAAUAUUUGUGAGAGGUAUAGAACUUUUACAUUCAUCGGAUCUUCCACAAAAGGAAGGAGAGAACAUUGACCUUACAAACAAGAUCAGAUCUACUUUAACCAGAAAUAUUGCGAACAAAUCCCUGCAAGCAUCUUUUCCCUACUGCGCCGGAUGCUUCUCAAAGGUAGAUCGUAACUUCAGCACAGUCCGUCCUCCCACCUCAGGGAGCUGUAACAAAGUCACGUCCAGGGUUGUUUUGACUUCUUCUAAGUUCUUUGGUGGAAAGAAAUAUCCAGUGGAAGAGCGUAGCCACGGCAAUGCUGUUUGGCCAUCACAGAAUGCUUCAAAUGCCCAUUUACUGAUCCCAGUGUCCUGUAUGUGAGUCCAUGAGGACACAAAGGAAGGAGAUCUCUUCUGCACAACUGAGACAUUUCUCCUGAUCAACCCUGGAACAAC
Athene cunicularia (burrowing owl) is the source of this 616-nucleotide long non-coding RNA. RefSeq lists it as uncharacterized. The record is from RefSeq and is a predicted model, not a curated record. Lineage: Eukaryota; Metazoa; Chordata; Aves; Strigiformes; Strigidae. The transcript is spliced from 4 exons.